This 549-nucleotide ribosomal RNA is filed under the name uncultured bacterium. RNAcentral describes it as "bacterial SSU rRNA". It matches the Rfam family "Bacterial small subunit ribosomal RNA", at positions 356 to 896 of the family's 1533-position model. The record is from RNAcentral.
AGGGAAUCUUCGGCAAUGGACGGAAGUCUGACCGAGCAACGCCGCGUGAGUGAAGAAGGUUUUCGGAUCGUAAAGCUCUGUUGUAAGAGAAGAACGAGUGUGAGAGUGGAAAGUUCACACUGUGACGGUAUCUUACCAGAAAGGGACGGCUAACUACGUGCCAGCAGCCGCGGUAAUACGUAGGUCCCGAGCGUUAUCCGGAUUUAUUGGGCGUAAAGCGAGCGCAGGCGGUUAGAUAAGUCUGAAGUUAAAGGCUGUGGCUUAACCAUAGUACGCUUUGGAAACUGUUUAACUUGAGUGCAAGAGGGGAGAGUGGAAUUCCAUGUGUAGCGGUGAAAUGCGUAGAUAUAUGGAGGAACACCGGUGGCGAAAGCGGCUCUCUGGCUUGUAACUGACGCUGAGGCUCGAAAGCGUGGGGAGCAAACAGGAUUAGAUACCCUGGUAGUCCACGCCGUAAACGAUGAGUGCUAGGUGUUAGACCCUUUCCGGGGUUUAGUGCCGUAGCUAACGCAUUAAGCACUCCGCCUGGGGAGUACGACCGCAAGGUUG